Molecule: non-coding RNA, 95 nt
Organism: Peniophora sp. CONT
Lineage: Eukaryota; Fungi; Basidiomycota; Agaricomycetes; Russulales; Peniophoraceae
Source: the annotation of a GenBank genome assembly
UCCCUGGUAGUAUAUCGGCUAGUACACCCGCUUGUCAACAAGCGCCUGCGGUUCUGAGUUCGCGGGAGAGCGGGGUUCGACUCCCCGCCAGGGAG